GACGAACGCUGGCGGCGUGCUUAACACAUGCAAGUCGAACGGAAAGGCCCUGCUUUUGUGGGGUGCUCGAGUGGCGAACGGGUGAGUAACACGUGAGUAACCUGCCCUUGACUUUGGGAUAACUUCAGGAAACUGGGGCUAAUACCGGAUAGGAGCUCCUGCUGCAUGGUGGGGGUUGGAAAGUUUCGGCGGUUGGGGAUGGACUCGCGGCUUAUCAGCUUGUUGGUGGGGUAGUGGCUUACCAAGGCUUUGACGGGUAGCCGGCCUGAGAGGGUGACCGGCCACAUGGGGACUGAGAUACGGCCCAGUCUCGUACGGGAGGCAACAGUGGGGAAUAUUCCACAAUGGUAGGGCGCCAGAUGCAACAACGCCGCGUGCGGGAUGACGGCCUUCGGGUUGUAAACCGCUUUCGCCUGUGACGAAGCGUGAGUGAAGGUAAUGGGUAAAGAAGCACCGGCUAACUACGUG
This 468-nucleotide ribosomal RNA is filed under the name uncultured bacterium. RNAcentral's name for it is "partial 16S ribosomal RNA". It matches the Rfam family "Bacterial small subunit ribosomal RNA", at positions 28 to 507 of the family's 1533-position model. The record is from RNAcentral.